CAGCCUCCCGAGUAGCUGGGACCACAGGCAUGUGCCACCACGUCUGGCUAAUUUUGUAUUUUUAGUAGAGACAGGGUUUCUCCAUGUUGGUCAGGCUGGUCUCAAACUCCCAAACUCAGGUGAUCCGCCCACCUCGGCCUCCCAAAGCGCUGGAAUAACAGGCGUGAGCCACCGCACCCGGCACCCCCCCCCUUUUUUUUUCUUUUGACACACAGUCUCACUCUGGCACCCAGGCUAGAGCACAGUGGUGUGACCUUGGCUCACUGCAACCUCUGCCUCCCAGGUUCAAGAUUCUUGUGCCUCAGCCACCCAAGUAGCUGGGAUUACAGGAAUGCACCACCAUGCCCAGCUAAUUUUUGUAUUUUUAGUAGAGACAGGGUUUCACCAUGAUAGCCAGGCUGGUCUCAAAC
Molecule: long non-coding RNA, 410 nt
Filed under: Homo sapiens (human)
Lineage: Eukaryota; Metazoa; Chordata; Mammalia; Primates; Hominidae
Description: HSALNT0407055
Source: RNAcentral